GCCCGGGUGGCGAAAUGGUAGACGCAUGGGACUUAAAAUCCCCUGGCCGUAAGGCCGUGCCGGUUCGAGUCCGGCCCCGGGCACCA
This 86-nucleotide transfer RNA is filed under the name Opitutaceae bacterium. RNAcentral describes it as "tRNA-Leu". It matches the Rfam family "tRNA". From Rfam's summary of the family: Transfer RNA (tRNA) molecules are approximately 80 nucleotides in length. Their secondary structure includes four short double-helical elements and three loops (D, anti-codon, and T loops). Lineage: Bacteria; Pseudomonadati; Verrucomicrobiota; Opitutia; Opitutales; Opitutaceae. The record is from RNAcentral.